CAAUAGUGAUUCCUGAAGUAGUGGCGAGACGAAAGGAAAAAGCCUAAACUUAAGCAGCGUGCUGCUUAAGGGUUGUAGGACUGCAUUUAGAAAUCAUCAUCAAGUAAAAUCUUCUGGAAAGUGGAGCCAUAGAGGGUGAUAGCCCGUAAACAGAAAAUGAUGAGGACGAGCAGUAUCCUGAGUAAGGCGGGACCGGAGGAAUCCUGCCCGAAUCUGCCAGCACCAUCUGGUAAGGCUAAAUACUCCUCAGACACCGAUAGUGAACCAGUACCGUAAGGGAAAGGUGAAAAGCACCCUAAACAAGGGAGUGAAAUAGUACCUGAAACCGUGUGCCUACAAGCGGUCGGAGUCCGCACAGCAAUGUGUGGGAUGACGGCGUGCCUUUUGCAUAAUGAGCCUACGAGUUACUCCUCACUGGCGAGGUUAAGCUGAAAUAGCGGAGCCGUAGCGAAAGCAAGUCCAA
RNAcentral lists this ribosomal RNA (463 nucleotides) under uncultured bacterium. RNAcentral's name for it is "bacterial LSU rRNA". It matches the Rfam family "Bacterial large subunit ribosomal RNA", at positions 226 to 686 of the family's 2925-position model. The record is from RNAcentral.